GAAGUCUCCGCUCUAUCGUCAGAGACCGCGCCCAGGAGGCCGGAAGCGGAAGUAGAGAAAUCGCGAGCUAGUCUGCGGGUAAAAUUGAGGCGGGCUAAUGUAUUUUGAGAGCAAGCUUAGAUCCCCAAGUCUCUCCAGAAUUGUACUCCUGAACCUGUGCGCGCGCUCGGGCGCCUCAGAAAUUUAAUCUGAUAGUCGGACGUGACGGCCUACGCCUUUAACCCUUGCCUAGCCCGGUGUACAGCACAAGUUCCAGGACAGCGAGGGCUAUACAGAGAAGCUCUAUUUGGAAACAUCAAAGGAGAAAAGAAAAAAAAAGUUAAUCUGCGGUUCAGGCGUGGAGGUACGAGCCUGUGAUCCUAGCACGCAAGUGGCAGAGGCAGAAGCUUGAGUUCUAGACCGGCCUGGGCAUUAUUAGACCAUCUAAAUAAAGUAAAAUAAAAUACUUGAUG
Mastomys coucha (southern multimammate mouse) is the source of this 452-nucleotide long non-coding RNA. RefSeq lists it as uncharacterized. The record is from RefSeq and is a predicted model, not a curated record. Lineage: Eukaryota; Metazoa; Chordata; Mammalia; Rodentia; Muridae. The transcript has 2 exons.